GACGGUCCCAGUUCGGAUUGUAGGCUGCAACCCGCCUACAUGAAGUUGGAAUUGCUAGUAAUCGCAGAUCAGAAUGCUGCGGUGAAUACGUUCCCGGGCCUUGUACACACCGCCCGUCACACCAUGAGAGUUGGGGAUACCCGAAGCCUGUGAGCUAACAGUAAUGAAGCAGCAGUCGAAGGUAGAAUCAAUGAUUGGGGUGAAGUCGUAACAAGGUAUC
Molecule: ribosomal RNA, 220 nt
Filed under: uncultured bacterium
Lineage: Bacteria
Description: partial 16S ribosomal RNA
Rfam family: Bacterial small subunit ribosomal RNA
Source: RNAcentral